GAUUGAAGAACGUAGCGAAAUGCGAUAAGUAAUGUGAAUUGCAGAAUUCAGUGAAUCAUCGAAUCUUUGAACGCACAUUGCGCCCGCCAGUAUUCUGGCGGGCAUGCCUGUUCGAGCGUCAUUUCAACCAUCAAGCCCCCGGGCUUGUGUUGGGGACCUGCGGCUGCCGCAGGCCCUGAAAAGCAGUGGCGGGCUCGCUGUCACACCGAGCGUAGUAGAUUUUAUCUCGCUCUGGGCGUGCUGCGGGUUCCGGCCGUUAAACCACCCUUUUAACCCAAGGUUGACCUCGGAUCAGGUAGGAAGACCCGCUGAACUUAAGCAUAUCAAUAAGCGGAGGA
Molecule: unclassified non-coding RNA, 338 nt
Filed under: soil metagenome
Description: partial contains 5.8S ribosomal RNA, internal transcribed spacer 2, and large subunit ribosomal RNA
Rfam family: 5.8S ribosomal RNA (bases 4-121)
Source: RNAcentral